UGCUGACACUGCAUUCUGUUGUUAUUUGGCUGCUGUGGAGAGGCCUGCAUGUGAGGCCUGAACUGUGGUUGGUUCAUGGGCAUCAAGGGCUGUGGUGGCCCUUGGAGAUGAUGAUGGUGUUGCUGUUGUUGUUGCUGGUGGUGAUGCUGCUGCUGCUGGUGAUGGUGCUGCUGAGGCUGAGGCUGUGGCUGAGGCUGCAAUGGAGGAUGCAAGGGACCCUGCAUGUUAGGCUGUGCGUGUGCUGUG
This 246-nucleotide long non-coding RNA is filed under the name Gallus gallus (chicken). Lineage: Eukaryota; Metazoa; Chordata; Aves; Galliformes; Phasianidae. The record is from RNAcentral.